UAGGGAAUAUUGGACAAUGGGUGAGAGCCUGAUCCAGCCAUGCCGCGUGCAGGAAGAAGGCGUUAUGCGUUGUAAACUGCUUUUUGCCAGGGGAUAAAAAGACCGUGCGCGGUUAAUUGAAGGUACCUGGUGAAUAAGCCACGGCUAACUACGUGCCAGCAGCCGCGGUAAUACGUAGGUGGCAAGCGUUGUCCGGAUUUAUUGGGUUUAAAGGGUGCGUAGGUGGCCCUGUAAGUCAGUGGUGAAAUCCCUGAGCUUAACUUAGGAAUUGCAUUCGAUACUGGGAAGCUAGAGUAUGGGAGAGGAUGGUAGAAUUCCAGGUGUAGCGGUGAAAUGCGUAGAGAUCUGGAGGAAUACCGAUGGCGAAGGCAGCCAUCUGGCCUAAUACUGACGCUGAGGUACGAAAGCAUGGGGAGCAAACAGGAUUAGAUACCCAAGUAGUCCCUGAGCGGGCUGGCAAGGCGCAU
Molecule: ribosomal RNA, 467 nt
Filed under: uncultured bacterium
Lineage: Bacteria
Description: bacterial SSU rRNA
Rfam family: Bacterial small subunit ribosomal RNA
Source: RNAcentral